Gadus chalcogrammus (walleye pollock) is the source of this 1848-nucleotide long non-coding RNA. RefSeq lists it as uncharacterized. The record is from RefSeq and is a predicted model, not a curated record. The transcript has 3 exons. NCBI's taxonomy places the organism in Eukaryota, Metazoa, Chordata, Actinopteri, Gadiformes, Gadidae.
GAGGAGGAGGAGGAGGAGGAGGAACAGGGAGAUGAGGAGGAGGAGGAAUAGGAGGAGUAGGCUACCUUGAGACACCACUCCGGACCCGGUGGGACACGUGCUGUGUCGGAUGCACAUAUCGAAAUCGGGCGCGUGGUAGUGUCCCGCGACGCAGCGGCAGGCGGUGUCCAGGGCGGCCGAGCACUGCGCGUGCACCUCUUGGUUCCGGCUGCACGCGCCGCACGGGAUGCACGCCUCGAUGUAGUUCCAGAGCUCCGUGAACGAUCCCGGUGGACACGCGGCGCAAGCGCUCUUCCGCGUGCCCGUGCACGGCGCGUGGAGGUAGGUGCCGGGCGCGCAGCGGUCGCAGGUGAGGAUGACACCGGAGUCGGGGUCCGUCCUCUGGUAGGUGGUCGACCCCGUGGUCAGCGGACCUGUUGACCUACUGGUUGACCCGUUAGUUGACAGACUGGUCAACAGACUGGUCGACCCGUUCGUCGUGAACCCGUUGGUCGGGGGCGGGAGUACGCACAAAAACAGCGCGAACAUCUGGAGGAACUGAAACACAAUAUGGAGCAGAAGCUGUAAGGAUCAGGCCAACCAGUCACAAGUCAUCAUCUCCACAGCUCGUCAGAAGAUCACUUACACACACUUCACCCCCACCACAUGCUUUAGUGGAGGGGGAAAUGAUGGAACAUCAGAAAGCACACCGCUCCUCAGAGCUUCCUCUUAAUGGCGGCCGUAGGGCGGGCCUUCAACUGAAGCAGCUCUGUGAUUGGUCGCCCGCUGCCCUGGUAGAAAUCCAAUCCAGUGAUCCACUCCACAUCUCGGACCCGUGAUUGGUGGAACCACAUGAGGUCUUCAACCCAAUGAGAUUCACUCUCUGCACUCUGUGAACCGACAUUAUUCAUCCUGAAGGGUUUUGUGGAAAUGCAUUUUUCUCUAGAAUACAAGGCAAGCAAUCAAACUAGUUUAAACCUUCCUUCAACGGGUUGAGCUGAGGAAUAACUAAUAACUAACCAGUCCUUCACCUGGUUGAGCUGAGGAAUAACUAAUAACUAACCAGUCCUUCACCUGGUUGAGCUGAGGAAUAACUAAUAACUAACCAGUCCUUCACCUGGUUGAGCUGAGGAAUAACUAAUAACAAACCAGUCCUUCACCUGGUUGAGCUGAGGAAUAACUAAUAACUAACCAGUCCUUCACCUGGUUGAGCUGAGGAAUAACUAAUAACUAACCAGUCCUUCACCUGGUUGAGCUGAGGAAUAACUUCACCUGGAAACCAAGAUUACCAGGAGCCUGAGUUUAGCAGGAGACUUAGUUUAGGCUGAGUUUAGCAGGAGCCUGAGUUUACCUGGCAGCUCUCGGCGUUGUCGCGGCGAUGCGGCAGCAGGAAGCAGACGGUGCUCAGGCUCCCGGAGCAGGCAGCCGGCGUCUGGGCCAUGUCGGAGCAGCUGGUCAGGACCGCAAAGUAGUGCGUGGGGACGGGGACGGAGGAGCCGGGGACGAACCUGUGGAGCGCACGGAGACACCAGGAGACCACGCCCGUCAGAGUGGGUCCACGGAGCGCCACAGACAACCUAGCAACAGCGGCGUUGUACUCAUGGAAACGUACUCAUGGAUCUGGUCCUGGGAGUCAAAGCGCCCGUCGUAGUUGUAGUCAAAGGCGGGUCCGGUGACCACGUUGAUGCCCCCGUACUGCUGGGAGUACUUCUUCAGCAGAGUACCCUGGAAGUAAUCCCAGAUCUCUGGAAAGGGGGAGAGAUAAAGACAUGAAGCAUCGCACUCAUUCAUUCAAGGAGAUCUAAAACCUCGCCUUCCACCAAACACAUGGGGUCUACUCAACUGACAGAGAGACAGAUGGGAGAGAGA